UUCUAUGGCGGGCGGUGCGUGGGGAUCUUCGGAUCCGCCGGUCUGGUACAUACCGGUUUUCGAGCCCGCACCGUCCGCCACCUUU
Molecule: non-coding RNA, 85 nt
Organism: Stenotrophomonas maltophilia R551-3
Lineage: Bacteria; Pseudomonadati; Pseudomonadota; Gammaproteobacteria; Lysobacterales; Lysobacteraceae
Source: Rfam